Molecule: ribosomal RNA, 242 nt
Filed under: uncultured microorganism
Description: partial 16S ribosomal RNA
Rfam family: Bacterial small subunit ribosomal RNA
Source: RNAcentral
GAGUUUGAUCGUGGCUCAGGAUGAACGCUGGCGGCGUGCCUAAUACAUGCAAGUCGUACGAACAGCGGAAAGUGCUUGCACUUCCAAGUAAGUGGCGAACGGGUGAGUAACACGUGAAGUAACCUACCUCAAAGUCUGGGAUAACCAUUGGAAACAGUGACUAAUACCGGAUAAAACCUAGUAGCACAUGCUACAAGGUUAAAAGCUGCGUUUGCAGCGCUUUAAGAUGGAUUCGCGGUGCA